RNAcentral lists this ribosomal RNA (343 nucleotides) under uncultured bacterium. RNAcentral describes it as "bacterial SSU rRNA". It matches the Rfam family "Bacterial small subunit ribosomal RNA", at positions 28 to 334 of the family's 1533-position model. The record is from RNAcentral.
GAUGAACGCUGGCGGCGCAUUUAAGACAUGCAAGUCGAACGAAAACUUUUUACCGAAUUGAUAUGACGAUUUAUCUGAAUUGAAAUUCACCAAAAAGUUUUAGUGGCGGACGGGUGAGUAAUACGUAGAUAAUCUGCCUAUUAGAGGGGAAUAACAGUGAGAAAUCAUUGCUAAUACCGCAUAUGCUAACAGUAUCGCAUGAUACAGUUAGGAAAGGAGCAAUCCGCUAAUAGAUGGGCUUGCGUCUGAUUAGCUAGUUGGUGGGGUAACGGCCUACCAAGGCGACGAUCAGUAGCCGGACUGAGAGGUUGAACGGCCACAUUGGGACUGAGAUACGGCCCAG